CCUACGGGAGGCAGCAGUGAGGAAUAUUGGUCAAUGGGCGGAAGCCUGAACCAGCCAAGUAGCGUGCAGGAUGACGGCCCUACGGGUUGUAAACUGCUUUUAUACGGGAAUAACGCGCCUUACGUGUAGGGCUUUGCAUGUACCGUAUGAAUAAGGACCGGCUAAUCCCGUGCCAGCAGCCGCGGCAAUACGGAAGGUCCGGGCGUUAUCCGGAUUAAUUGGGGUUAAAGGGAGCGUAGGCCGCAUGUCAAGCGUGCUGUGAAAUGGCCGGGCUAACCCCGGGCCUUGCAGAGCGAACUGGCUGCCUUGAGUCAGCGGAGGGCAGACGGAAUUCGUCGUGUAGCGGUGAAAUGCUUAGAUAUGACGAAGAACCCCGAUUGCGAAGGCAGCUUGCUGCAGCGGAACUGACGCUGAUGCUCGAAAGCGCGGGUAUCGAACAGGAUUAGAUACCCCGGUAGUC
This 460-nucleotide ribosomal RNA is filed under the name uncultured bacterium. Its description in RNAcentral is "partial 16S ribosomal RNA". It matches the Rfam family "Bacterial small subunit ribosomal RNA", at positions 338 to 795 of the family's 1533-position model. The record is from RNAcentral.